GAUUCGCAAACUAUGGCGACAAACAACCAUAGCAGAAGCAUGUCCGGAUUAUUUCACAUAUAUCACAAAAUCCUGCAAAGGGUCUGUCCCCAUUGGAUCACCUCCCAUCACGCCACACACGACGUGAAUGACUUCGUGCUUCUCCAUACCUGCAUUGAUCUCUGGGUCCAUUGCCAGUUAUAAACCUCCAAGGGCAAUAGCCAUGAGGUGAUGUACAGUCAAGCAUCACUUAAUAACCAGGAUACAUUCUGAGAAAUUUGUCGUUAGGCAAUUUUUUCAUUGCACGAACCUCACAGAGUGUACUUACACUAACCUAGAUAGUAGCAUCCAGUAAACACCUGGGCUAUAUGGUCUAGCCUAUUGCUCCUAGGCUACAAACCUGUAUAGCAUGUUACUGUACUGAAUAUGUAGGCACUUGUAACACAAUGGUAAGUGUUUUUGUAUCUAAACAUAUCUAAACAUAGGAGAGGUAAUGCAUUGUGCUACAGCAUUACAAUGGCUAUGACAGACACUAGGCAAUAGGAAUUUUCCAGCUCCAUUAUAAUCUUAAGGGACCACCAUGGCACAUGCAGCCCAUUGUUGACCAAAAGUUGUUAUGUGGUGAAUGACUAUAAUUGGCUUUUCAGAGCAACCACUCACAAGGGGGUGUAGUAUAGCUUACUAGACAAAACUGCAGCCGCUGCUCUGUUUUUUGCUCUUAGAAAACUGAGUACCUGAUUUGGACAAAAUCAUAAUAAAAUUUAGAUAGAGCCAACAUUUGUCCUCUGGAAGUUUCUGACAAGAUACAAGUCACCGUUAUAAUAGUCAAAUGUCAAAGUGGUAUAUCUAACAAAAUUAAAACAGACAGCUAGGAGUGAGAAGAUUUAAGAAAAUUCAGGUGGCCCAAAGGAAAGCCAAGACAAGACAUUCUCUCCCGGCCUUUGGGCCUGGAUUUUCAUUUCAGCAGGUAACGAGGAGACCAAAGGCCUAGUUAUUUAUGGAGAUCUGGGGCCACAGCAGAGCUCCUCAUGGCAGGAUAAGGCAGUGGAAAGCAGACUCAACGGUUAACCCACAGUCCUCCUCAGCAAGCUGGGAGAAGCAACUGAUGCCACUUAGAUGCUUAGACCGGGC
RNAcentral lists this long non-coding RNA (1110 nucleotides) under Homo sapiens (human). RNAcentral's name for it is "RPL37A divergent transcript (RPL37A-DT)". Lineage: Eukaryota; Metazoa; Chordata; Mammalia; Primates; Hominidae. The record is from RNAcentral.